Molecule: long non-coding RNA, 1274 nt
Filed under: Androctonus crassicauda
Lineage: Eukaryota; Metazoa; Arthropoda; Arachnida; Scorpiones; Buthidae
Source: RNAcentral
AACCUCACAAUUUGAAUUUUGUGGGCUAGUGCAUGUGCAUGCAUGGAAUUGUGUGAUGUCAUUAGCAAUUUGUCUAUUCUUGUUGGGCUGCUUUGAUAUUUGCCCAUGUUGUUUGUCUUAAUUUUCAAUUUUUCAUUUUUCAGAAACUAAAAAAUUUGUGCAUCUGAAGUUGUUGUUUUUUUUUUUGAGUGAAAAGUAAGAGUGUCACUGACAUCACUUCUCUCCCAUUUAUGAUCCCCUAUUCCAGACCAUAUUCUCACAAUUUCAAUCUUGACAAAUUCAAAUGCAUAUCUCCUGUUGAGAUGUGUCUUUCUCACACAGUACAUCUAGUUUAUAUUGCAUAUCUCAUUCACAAGUUUAUAUUUAUUUUCUUUUGCAUUUCUGUAUGCUUCCAUAUACUAAAUCUCCUUUUAUACUUUUGUUUCCAUUAUCUUUAUCUUUUAUCCUUUGUAAUUCAUUUAUAACUGUUAUAGCAAUAUCAGCAAAAAUAUUCUAUUUUAGAAUUGUUGGUUUGAAUAUCAGAAUAAAAAAUUUGCCAUGAUGGUCAACACUGAUAUAAUCUUAUGGUCUUAGAUCCCCAGGCAUUACUUCAACUGGCCAUUCAAGUUGGAUACCAUAGACUCAGAUUUCUGCCAAGGUAAAACAUGAGUCCAAAAUGGGAAGACCAACAAACACUGUUUAAAUGGCAUACAGUUAUUGAAUGCACUUUGUAGUAUACUGAUUUUGUAUUAUAGUUUUAUUUACUUAAGUAUAUGUAAAUUGUGUCAUUGUUAAAUUUAUAGAUGUUUGUAUUUUAUUUAAUGUCAAAAUUAUUUUCAAUAAUUUAAUUGUGUGACUUGAAGAGAGAGGGAUCUUCGUAGAAUUUGAUUUUGAUAGACACUUGAUUUUGUUUAUUGGAUAAAAAAUUAAUAGCAAAAACGUAAAUUAAUAAAUUUUACAUUUUAAAAUUAGAUGUAGCUGUAAUGAAAACUAAAAUUUUAGUUGGUUCUAUUUAUAUUGAAUAUAGAUAGUCCUUGACUUACAAUUGUGGUGCAUUUGGUAAACCCUGUGAUGUAACGAAUGCAGUUAAUAUAAGUCUCUGCAUACUAGUCUGAUGUACAACAACAUUGAUUUUUAUCUAGUUUUUUAGCUUUGUGUUCAUGCUAGGAUGCUGUAUUUUGCUAAUGAAUAAUGACAGUCAGCAAUUAAUAGAUACAAUAACUCUCAAUUAAUUUCCCCAGAUAACUGAUUCUCUGAUAAUCUACAAAACACUCAAAAAAAAAUCAGAGUUAUGG